UACCUGCAGCUCGAGUGGUAACCGCUAUUAUUGGGCCUAAAGCGUCCGUAGCCGGUCUGGUAAAUAUCUGGGUAAAUCGUGAGGCUUAACUUCACGAAUUUCGGAUAGACUGCCAGACUUGGGAUCGGGGGAGGUCAGAGGUACUCCAGGGGUAGCGGUGAAAUGUUGUAAUCCUUGGAGGACCACCGGUAGCGAAGGCGUCUGACUAGAACGAGCCCGACGGUGAGGGACGAAGCCCUGGGGCGCAAACCGGAUUAGAUACCCGGGUAGUCCAGGGUGUAAGCGAUGUGGGCUUUGUAUUGGAGGUCCCACGUGGGCGUCCAGUGCAGAAGAGAAGUUGUUAAGCCCACCGCCUGGGAAGUACGGUCGCAAGGCUGAAACUUAAAGGAAUUGGCGGGGGAGCACAGCAACGGGAGGAGCGUGCGGUUU
This 429-nucleotide ribosomal RNA is filed under the name uncultured archaeon. Its description in RNAcentral is "bacterial SSU rRNA". It matches the Rfam family "Archaeal small subunit ribosomal RNA", at positions 474 to 903 of the family's 1478-position model. The record is from RNAcentral.